UCACAUCCUAUCCAUAUUUUUUGGGGAUGUUUUCAACUAAAAUUCUGACAUACUGCACCUUUUAAAGAAUAGACAUGAUACAGAUUUAUCAUGUGGUUUUGUUAGGCCGCCAUCCUGCUAACAACUAGCGAGCGUCGUCACAGAAUCUUUGAAGAGUAAGUGACCCGCUUGAAAUGACCUGCCUCUGCACAGGGGCUUUAUUCAUUUCCAGAUUUCGAAAACAUACUAUGCAGCCACAGGUUUAGCAGCAUUCAACAUAAAGGUCCACCAUCAUCAGAGCUUCAGAUGUCCUUCGCAGUAGUACUUGACAGAAGGACGACUCGCUCUGCGGCGCUGCAUCAAUCAGGCCUCUAUAGUGAAGUUCGUCUGUUGCCUGAAUGUCAAGAACUACUUCAAAUGAAAGCCUGCUUCUAAUGAAGUCCAGGUAAUGCUCAUCACGAAAAAAAACCACAAUCUCCCUAGUGGAUAAUAGCGGUGGCAGAGGCCUCUCCGCUGGGAAAGACUGAGCCUGAGGGAGUGAUGUAUGGGGCCAGAGAGAAAGGUCUUCAAGAAAAUGUUAUCUAGUGCACUCUGACUGGGUCAAAGAUCCACACAUUAUCAUAACAACAGGCAGAGUGACUUAGUCGAGGCCAAGAUCUGUCCUGCUUGUUGUUCUCCAUGAGGAACUGGAAGUUGCAAGAGACAGGUUUUUUUGGUCAGGCUGUAAAUGUGUUGUGGAGGGCAUUUUAUUUUGUUCUCCAAUAUUUAUUCAAUUGAAAAACAACUUAAGUCUUAUGUGUUCAUCUUACACACUUAUUGUUAAUGUCAUAUGUUUAAUGAUUACUAGCAUAUCCGCAGUUGUUAAUGCACUUACAUUAUUGAAAUGUGCAUUGUUAAAGUCCAGUGUGUGUAUCAGUGUUGCCAGAUUGAUUAGAGGCUUUCCAGCCCAAUAAUGAAUAUAAAAAAAAUGCCCACAUUUUACCUAAACAAUACAAAUGAAUUAAACAA
This is a long non-coding RNA of Acanthopagrus latus (yellowfin seabream), 987 nucleotides long. RefSeq lists it as uncharacterized. The transcript is spliced from 3 exons. The record is from RefSeq and is a predicted model, not a curated record. NCBI's taxonomy places the organism in Eukaryota, Metazoa, Chordata, Actinopteri, Spariformes, Sparidae.